This 459-nucleotide ribosomal RNA is filed under the name uncultured bacterium. RNAcentral describes it as "partial 16S ribosomal RNA". It matches the Rfam family "Bacterial small subunit ribosomal RNA", at positions 338 to 795 of the family's 1533-position model. The record is from RNAcentral.
CCUACGGGUGUCUGCAGUGAGGAAUAUUGGUCAAUGGCCGAGAGGCUGAACCAGCCAAGUCGCGUGAGGGAAGACGGCCCUACGGGUUGUAAACCUCUUUUGUAGGGGAGCAAAGCGAACCACGUGUGGUUCAUUGAGAGUACCCGAAGACAAAGCAUCGGCUAACUCCGUGCCAGCAGCCGCGGUAAGACGGAGGAUGCGAGCGUUAUCCGGAUUUAUUGGGUUUAAAGGGUGCGCAGGCGGAGGUGGAAGUCAGCGGUCAAAUUGCGGGGCUCAACCCCGUACUGCCGUUGAACCUGCAUCCCUUGAGUGCGCGAGAAGUAUGCGGAAUGCGUGGGGUAGCGGUGAAAUGCAUAGAUAUCACGCAGAACUCCGAUUGCGAAGGCAGCAUACCGGCGCGCAACUGACGCUCAUGCACGAAAGCGUGGGUAUCGAACAGGAUUAGAUACCCUAGUAGUC